UGGGCAACCUGCCCCCGACCCUGGGAUAACCCCGGGAAACCGGAGCUAAUACCGGAUACUCUCCUCUGACCACCUGGUCGGAUGAGGAAAGGUCCGCCGGUCGGGGAUGGGCCCGCGGCCUAUCAGCUUGUCGGUGGGGUAACGGCCUACCAAGGCGACGACGGGUAGCUGGU
Molecule: ribosomal RNA, 173 nt
Filed under: uncultured bacterium
Lineage: Bacteria
Description: partial 16S ribosomal RNA
Rfam family: Bacterial small subunit ribosomal RNA
Source: RNAcentral